GAUGAAGAACGUAGCGAAAUGCGAUACUUGGUGUGAAUUGCAGAAUCCCGUGAACCAUCGAGUCUUUGAACGCAAGUUGCGCCCGAAGCCACUAGGCCGAGGGCACGCCUGCCUGGGCGUCACACGCCGUUGCCCCCCCAUCUACUCUUUCGGGAUUGCGGGGGGGCGGAUGAUGGCCUCCUGUGCGCCUAGCCGCGCGGUUGGCAUAAAUACCAAGUCCUCGGCGACGCACGCCACGACAAUCGGUGGUUGCGAAACCUCGGUUGCCCGUCGUGUGCGUUCGUCGCGCAUCGAGGGCUCGAAAAAAUGCUCGGCUCCGGCUGGGCUUUCAACGCGACCCCAGGUCAGGCGGGGUUACCCGCUGAAUUUAAGCAUAUCAAUAAGCGGAGGA
RNAcentral lists this unclassified non-coding RNA (391 nucleotides) under soil metagenome. Its description in RNAcentral is "partial contains 5.8S ribosomal RNA, internal transcribed spacer 2, and large subunit ribosomal RNA". The stretch from base 1 to 122 matches the Rfam family "5.8S ribosomal RNA", at positions 35 to 154 of the family's 154-position model. The record is from RNAcentral.